This 409-nucleotide ribosomal RNA is filed under the name uncultured Lachnospiraceae bacterium. RNAcentral's name for it is "bacterial SSU rRNA". It matches the Rfam family "Bacterial small subunit ribosomal RNA", at positions 276 to 702 of the family's 1533-position model. Lineage: Bacteria; Bacillati; Bacillota; Clostridia; Lachnospirales; Lachnospiraceae. The record is from RNAcentral.
ACGAUCAGUAGCCGACCUGAGAGGGUGACCGGCCACAUUGGGACUGAGACACGGCCCAAACUCCUACGGGAGGCAGCAGUGGGGAAUAUUGCACAAUGGGGGAAACCCUGAUGCAGCGACGCCGCGUGAGCGAUGAAGUAUUUCGGUAUGUAAAGCUCUAUCAGCAGGGAAGAAAAUGACGGUACCUGACUAAGAAGCCCCGGCUAACUACGUGCCAGCAGCCGCGGUAAUACGUAGGGGGCAAGCGUUAUCCGGAUUUACUGGGUGUAAAGGGAGCGUAGACGGCAUGGCAAGCCAGAUGUGAAAGCCCGGGGCUCAACCCCGGGACUGCAUUUGGAACUGUCAGGCUAGAGUGUCGGAGAGGAAAGCGGAAUUCCUAGUGUAGCGGUGAAAUGCGUAGAUAUUAGGA